GGGUGCGUAACACGUGAGCAACCUACCCUGGAGUGGGGGAUAGCCGGCCCAACGGCCGGGUAAUACCGCAUACGCCCGUUUGGCUUCCUGGCCGAGCGGGGAAAGCUUUAGUGCUCCAGGCGGGGCUCGCGGCCUAUCAGCUAGUUGGCGAGGUAACGGCUCACCAAGGCGAUGACGGGUAGCUGGUCUGAGAGGAUGGCCAGCCACAUUGGGACUGAGAGACGGCCCAGACUCCUACGGGAGGCAGCAGUGGGGAAUCUUGCGCAAUGGGCGAAAGCCUGACGCAGCGACGCCGCGUGGGGGAGGAAGGCCUUCGGGUUGUAAACCCCUGUUGCCCGGGACGAAUCGCCCUUUUCGAGGGGCUUGACGGUACCGGGUGAGGAAGCACCGGCUAACUCUGUGCCAGCAGCCGCGGUAAUACGUAGGGUGCAAGCGUUGUUCGGAAUUACUGGGCGUAAAGGGCGAGUAGGCGGAUCGAUAAGCCAGGGGUGAAAUCCCGGAGCUCAACUCCGGAACUGCUUCUGGAACUGUCGGUCUUGAGGAAGUCAGAGGUUAGCGGAAUUCCUGGUGUAGCGGUGAAAUGCGUAGAUAUCAGGAGGAACACCGGAGGCGUAAGCGGCUAACUGGGACUUAUCUGACGCUGAGGCGCGAAAGCAUGGGGAGCAAACAGGAUUAGAUACCCUGGUAGUCCAUGCUGUAAACGAUGAAUACUAGAUGUGUGAAGUUAAAAGAUCACGUGUCGCAGCAAACGCAGUAAGUAUUCCGCCUGGGAAGUACGGUCGCAAGACUAAAACUCAAAGGAAUUGACGGGGGCCCGCACAAGCGGUGGAACAUGUGGUUUAAUUCGACGCAACGCGAAGAACCUUACCUGGGUUUGACAUCCCGUGCUAUAGCAAGAGAUUGCUAGUUCCCGCAAGGGACGCGGAGACAGGUGCUGCAUGGCUGUCGUCAGCUCGUGUUGUGAGAUGUUGGGUUAAGUCCCGCAACGAGCGCAACCCUUAUUCCUAGUUGCCAUCAGGAAAGCUGGGCACUCUAGGGAGACUGCCGGUGAUAAGCCGGAGGAAGGUGGGGAUGACGUCAAGUCCUCAUGGCCUUUAUAUCCAGGGCUACACACGUGUUACAAUGGGAGUGACAAAGAGAAGCAAGACGGCGACGUGGAGCGAAUCUCAAAAAAGCUCUCUCAGUUCGGAUUGUAGUCUGCAACUCGACUACAUGAAGUUGGAAUCGCUAGUAAUCGCGGAUCAGCACGCCGCGGUGAAU
This 1260-nucleotide ribosomal RNA is filed under the name uncultured bacterium. Its description in RNAcentral is "bacterial SSU rRNA". It matches the Rfam family "Bacterial small subunit ribosomal RNA", at positions 104 to 1367 of the family's 1533-position model. The record is from RNAcentral.